UGAUUGGCAUAACAGUGACAUACUUUGCAAGGGAGUCAUAAUUUUGAAAACAACUCCAAAAUAAAAUAUCAGCCCCAAUGUUCUAUCUCGAUAUCAUUCAUUAUCUAAUUUAAAAUGGAGACAAAGGAUAUUUUUAAAGGGGGGGGGGAUGGAAGAAAUGAAUAUUCAAGAAGGGAUGCAAAUGAACAGAUAUGGCAACUGCUUUUUCAAUCAGACUUCUGCUUUGCAGAUGAAUAGAGAUGCCAGAUCAGAACACAGAGGAGCCUCUCUUGGGGAUCUUAAUGGCAGAGGCCUGAGGGAGGCGGUACGGCAGCGGCAGAGGCAGGAGAAGCAGCUGCGUAUUGUUCUUCAGCGGCAAGCAGAGAGUCCAAGAGUAGCCCCUUGAUUGACAGCGUCGAAGGCAAUGCAUUGAUCAGGAAGCCUUGGUGUGAGGCUUUGAACAUGUCUAAUUAUCAUCCUGAAAAGCACGAUGACCCAGUGGGGCUUCUGAAGCUCGGGGCAGAAAGCCAUUCCUGUUCUUCAACCAUGUGUCCACCAAAUGUCACCUGUUCUUGGCCAGCUAUACAGGAGCAGCCUCACCUUCAGCUGACAUCUGCAAAACAAGAGAAUCAUGUAACACAAGGGUCUGAUAAUGUGAUGUGAUUUCUGUCUCUGGCUAUAAAAUGAGCAGGGCAGCUAGAGAGCACAGCAAUGGCUGGUUCCAUUUUAAUGGAGCAGAUAUCUCAUUUGCCCGAUGGGUGGGAUAGCUAUGCUUGUUGUACAGCAUUCUAUUCUGAAUCAGUGUUCUGUGCCUAUGGGAGCAAGUUGUUUUAGAUGAAUGAUUUCAGAGACAGAACUACAUCAGAUCUAUAUAUCCACUACUGGACAUCAAUCAAACCCACAGAGUUUAACCAACCCAAUUGUCACUCUAUGAGAAAGGUAUGUCAAAGGAGAAAGCAGUGAAAACAACUUUGUUCAAGACUGGUUUCAUUUUAUUGAUUAUGUGAACAUCAAGGAUGGACUUUGGACAAUUCCAUUACAUCACCGGAAAUUUUGGGAAGAUUCAUUCACAACAUAAUUAUUAUACUAGACCUUAUGGUAAAAACUUUAUAAAGAUGUUUCUGACAUGUUGGACUUUGUCAAAAUCUUGAAAGUACAUCUGUAACACCAACCUGUCAAUCCACAAGCUUCUUGAAGUUAUGUUUUAAGAUAUUUUCAGUAAAAAAUAAAACUUUUUAAAAAAUUGA
This is a long non-coding RNA of Anolis carolinensis (green anole), 1226 nucleotides long. RefSeq lists it as uncharacterized. Lineage: Eukaryota; Metazoa; Chordata; Lepidosauria; Squamata; Anolidae. The record is from RefSeq and is a predicted model, not a curated record. The transcript is spliced from 2 exons.